This 348-nucleotide unclassified non-coding RNA is filed under the name soil metagenome. Its description in RNAcentral is "partial contains 5.8S ribosomal RNA, internal transcribed spacer 2, and large subunit ribosomal RNA". The stretch from base 1 to 120 matches the Rfam family "5.8S ribosomal RNA", at positions 35 to 154 of the family's 154-position model. The record is from RNAcentral.
GAUGAAGAACGUAGCGAAAUGCGAUAAGUAAUGUGAAUUGCAGAAUUCAGUGAAUCAUCGAAUCUUUGAACGCACAUUGCGCCCGCUGGUAUUCCGGCGGGCAUGCCUGUUCGAGCGUCAUUUCAACCCUCAAGCCCCCGGGUUUGGUGUUGGGGAUCGGCUCUGCCCUUCUGGGCGGUGCCGCCCCCGAAAUACAUUGGCGGUCUCGCUGCAGCCUCCAUUGCGUAGUAGCUAACACCUCGCAACUGGAACGCGGCGCGGCCAUGCCGUAAAACCCCAACUUCUGAAUGUUGACCUCGGAUCAGGUAGGAAUACCCGCUGAAAUUAAGCAUAUCAAUAAGCGGAGGA